GGGUAUGGUGGCUCAUGCCUGUAAUCUCAGCUACUAGGAAAGCUGAGACAGGAGGAUCACUUGAGCUCACAGGAGUUCGAGACCAGCCUGGCCAAAAUAGCAACUAAAAUAGUAAAACUCUGUCUCAA
RNAcentral lists this small RNA (128 nucleotides) under Marmota monax (woodchuck). The record is from RNAcentral. Lineage: Eukaryota; Metazoa; Chordata; Mammalia; Rodentia; Sciuridae.